RNAcentral lists this ribosomal RNA (1354 nucleotides) under Thermococcus litoralis. RNAcentral's name for it is "bacterial SSU rRNA". It matches the Rfam family "Archaeal small subunit ribosomal RNA". The record is from RNAcentral. Lineage: Archaea; Methanobacteriati; Methanobacteriota; Thermococci; Thermococcales; Thermococcaceae.
UUCCGGGUUGAUCCUGCCGGAGGCCACUGCUAUCGGGGUCCGACUAAGCCAUGCGAGUCAAGGGGGUGUCCCUCUGGGACACCACCGGCGGACGGCUCAGUAACACGUCGGUAACCUACCCUCGGGAGGGGGAUAACCCCGGGAAACUGGGGCUAAUCCCCCAUAGGCCUGAGGUACUGGAAGGUCCUCAGGCCGAAAGGGGCUUUUGCCCGCCCGAGGAUGGGCCGGCGGCCGAUUAGGUAGUUGGUGGGGUAACGGCCCACCAAGCCGAAGAUCGGUACGGGCUGUGAGAGCAGGAGCCCGGAGAUGGACACUGAGACACGGGUCCAGGCCCUACGGGGCGCAGCAGGCGCGAAACCUCCGCAAUGCGGGAAACCGCGACGGGGGGACCCCGAGUGCCGUGGCACCGCCACGGCUUUUCCGGAGUGUAAAAAGCUCCGGGAAUAAGGGCUGGGCAAGGCCGGUGGCAGCCGCCGCGGUAAUACCGGCGGCCCGAGUGGUGGCCGCUAUUAUUGGGCCUAAAGCGUCCGUAGCCGGGCCCGUAAGUCCCUGGCGAAAUCCCACGGCUCAACCGUGGGGCUUGCUGGGGAUACUGCGGGCCUUGGGACCGGGAGAGGCGGGGGGUACCCCUGGGGUAGGGGUGAAAUCCUAUAAUCCCAGGGGGACCGCCAGUGGCGAAGGCGCCCCGCUGGAACGGGUCCGACGGUGAGGGACGAAGGCCAGGGGAGCAAACCGGAUUAGAUACCCGGGUAGUCCUGGCUGUAAAGGAUGCGGGCUAGGUGUCGGGUGAGCUUCGAGCUCGCCCGGUGCCGUAGGGAAGCCGUUAAGCCCGCCGCCUGGGGAGUACGGCCGCAAGGCUGAAACUUAAAGGAAUUGGCGGGGGAGCACUACAAGGGGUGGAGCGUGCGGUUUAAUUGGAUUCAACGCCGGGAACCUCACCGGGGGCGACGGCAGGAUGAAGGCCAGGCUGAAGGUCUUGCCGGACACGCCGAGAGGAGGUGCAUGGCCGCCGUCAGCUCGUACCGUGAGGCGUCCACUUAAGUGUGGUAACGAGCGAGACCCGCGCCCCCAGUUGCCAGCCCUUCCCGUUGGGAAGGGGGCACUCUGGGGGGACUGCCGGCGAUAAGCCGGAGGAAGGAGCGGGCGACGGUAGGUCAGUAUGCCCCGAAACCCCCGGGCUACACGCGCGCUACAAUGGGCGGGACAAUGGGAUCCGACCCCGAAAGGGGAAGGGAAUCCCCUAAACCCGCCCCCAGUUCGGAUCGCGGGCUGCAACUCGUCCGCGUGAAGCUGGAAUCCCUAGUACCCGCGUGUCAUCAUCGCGCGGCGAAUACGUCCCUGCUCCUUGCACACC